GACCUCGUGCGAUUGCGAGUCAAUUCAUAGGGUGUUUUGAGUUGAGUCACUUGAUAUGACUCUCCCAAUAUCUAUCUCUUUAUGUAUUAUUAUCAAAAUAAAAUUUUAUUGAGAAAAGAANAAAAAAACCUAAGAAAACCCUUGAGAGCAAGAUGAGCAAACUAAGCGCCGAGCCUCAUUAAAACCGGUCUCCACAAAGGAAAACUCAUGAAGGAGAAAGCCUUUAGGAGGAAAAAGAGUAUCUAUGACGUAGAAACAAACAAAAAUGAGGCUAAACCAACUCGAACUCCGGACUAACCAUCACCCAAG
This 309-nucleotide long non-coding RNA is filed under the name Salvia miltiorrhiza (redroot sage). Its description in RNAcentral is "long non-coding RNA (SMIL_LNC003044)". The record is from RNAcentral. Lineage: Eukaryota; Viridiplantae; Streptophyta; Magnoliopsida; Lamiales; Lamiaceae.